GCAUCGGUGGUCCAAUGGUUAAGAUCCGACAUUCCCAAUGUCGAAGACCCGGGUCCGAUUCCCGGUCGAUGCA
Molecule: transfer RNA, 73 nt
Rfam family: tRNA
About the family: Transfer RNA (tRNA) molecules are approximately 80 nucleotides in length.